Molecule: non-coding RNA, 403 nt
Organism: Grammomys surdaster
Lineage: Eukaryota; Metazoa; Chordata; Mammalia; Rodentia; Muridae
Source: the annotation of a RefSeq genome assembly
UCCCCUGUCCCUGAACACACUGACUAUAAACAUGAGAUGGAGUUGGGUCUUUCUUUUCCUCCUGUCAGUAACUGCAGGUGUUCACUCCGAGAUUCAGCUGCAGCAGUCUGGAGCUGAGCUGGUGCGGCCUGGGGCUUCAGUGAAGAUGUCCUGCAAGGCUUCUGGCUAUGAAUUCAACAGCUAUUAUAUGAGCUGGGUGAAACAGAGUCAUGGAAAGAGCUUUCAGUGGAUUGGGACGAUUGGUCCUUAUGGUGGUACUGACUACAAUGAGAAGUUCAAUGGCAAGGCCACAUUGACUGUAGACAAAUCCUCCAGCACAGCCUACAUGGAGCUUAGCAGAUUGACAUCUGAGGACUCUGCGAUCUAUUACUGUGCAAGACACACUGUGGCAACCACAUCCUGA